Molecule: ribosomal RNA, 468 nt
Filed under: uncultured bacterium
Lineage: Bacteria
Description: partial 16S ribosomal RNA
Rfam family: Bacterial small subunit ribosomal RNA
Source: RNAcentral
GAUGAACGCUGGCGGCGUGCUUAACACAUGCAAGUCGAACGGAAAGGCCGAAGCUUGCUUCGGUACUCGAGUGGCGAACGGGUGAGUAACACGUGGGUGAUCUGCCCUGUACUUCGGGAUAAGCUUGGGAAACUGGGUCUAAUACCGAAUAUGACGAUCUCUUGGAUGGGGUUGUGGAAAGCUUUUGCGGUAUGGGAUGAGCUCGCGGCCUAUCAGCUUGUUGGUGGGGUAAUGGCCUACCAAGGCGUCGACGGGUAGCCGGCCUGAGAGGGUGUACGGCCACAUUGGGACUGAGAUACGGCCCAGACUCCUACGGGAGGCAGCAGUGGGGAAUAUUGCACAAUGGGCGCAAGCCUGAUGCAGCGACGCCGCGUGGGGGAUGACGGCCUUCGGGUUGUAAACUCCUUUCGCAAUCGACGAAGCCUUUUGGUGACGGUAGGUUGAGAAGAAGCACCGGCUAACUACGUG